This 420-nucleotide ribosomal RNA is filed under the name uncultured bacterium. RNAcentral describes it as "bacterial SSU rRNA". It matches the Rfam family "Bacterial small subunit ribosomal RNA", at positions 359 to 772 of the family's 1533-position model. The record is from RNAcentral.
GAUUUUGGACAAUGGGCGCAAGCCUGAUCCAGCCAUGCCGCGUGAGUGAAGAAGGCCUUCGUGUUGUAAAGCUCUUUCGGCGGGGACGAAAUGGUUCGCGCUAAUACCACGGACUGAUGACGGUACCGUCAGAGGAAGCCCCGGCUAACUCCGUGCCAGCAGCCGCGGUAAUACGGAGGGGGCGAGCGUUAUUCGGAAUUAUUGGGCGUAAAGGGCGCGUAGGCGGCCAUUCAAGUCAAAGGUGAAAUCCCUCGGCUCAACUGAGGAACUGCCUUUGAAACUGGAUGGCUUGAGGCCGGGAGGGGGUAGCGGAAUUCCCAGUGUAGCGGUGAAAUGCGUAGAUAUUGGGAGGAACACCAGUGGCGAAGGCGGCUACCUGGACCGGUUCUGACGCUGAUGCGCGAAAGCGUGGGUAGCAAA